GCCGGAGUGGUGAAAUUGGUAGACGCGCUGGAUUCAAAAUCCGGUGGGCCUUGGCCCGUGUCGGUUCGAGUCCGACCUUCGGCAUCA
This 87-nucleotide transfer RNA is filed under the name Candidatus Poribacteria bacterium. RNAcentral's name for it is "tRNA-Leu". It matches the Rfam family "tRNA". From Rfam's summary of the family: Transfer RNA (tRNA) molecules are approximately 80 nucleotides in length. The record is from RNAcentral. Lineage: Bacteria; Candidatus Poribacteria.